GGACGUUAGUUCUUUUUAGCAUGUAAAUCUUGCACACCAAGUGUUUGAUAAAAUCCCUAAAUGAACUUGACAUAAAGUGGGAGGUAUGAUCAAUUGGUUAAAGAAAAUUGUUAUAUGGCUUAUCGGGUAGGAAAAUUCUUAAGUAAACAAACAAAUUUGCUCAACGAGUGUGCUUAUUAAGAAUAAUCGAGGAAUUUAUUCUGAAUUGUCUGUAUUUUUCUAUUUGACAGUAGUUCCAAAGGAGCAAGGUGGAAGUGUUGACUUAGGAACCAAAUCCACAUAAAUUGGAAAUAAACAGGUGAUACACUGGUGUUUGGAUGGAUGUGAUCUGGAUACCAUGAUAUGUGCACAUUGAUAUGAUAUGGUCUCUCUCAUGUAAGAGGCAAGUAGGAGCAGUGCCUGUUGUCACCAAGAUCAGGAGCUAACUUGACUUGAAAAAGAGACUGAGAAGGAAGAUAAGAAAAAAUGAGUCAAGGCCUAGAGGUGACUCAUUCCAGAUAAGGGAAAAGAAAAAGCAGCAGAGUGAGCUGCUAAGUUGACAAAGACUCCACUGAAGUUUUUGUACGGGUAUUAUUUUAUGCCCAUGUAAUUUAGUUUGAUGUAAAUAUGAUAUUGUUUAAAUGUAUCUAUGUAGUAAAUGAGCAGUUGUACACUUAAAUCUGUAAUAAUAUUAUUUUUGAAUUUUGUUUCUGUAUAUUAAGGCUUAUGUAUGUAAAUUAAAUUCAAUGUAAUGUUAUUGAGUUUACUGAAUUAUUUUAAAAAUAUUUUGAG
Long non-coding RNA from Hevea brasiliensis (rubber tree), 771 nucleotides. RefSeq lists it as uncharacterized. Lineage: Eukaryota; Viridiplantae; Streptophyta; Magnoliopsida; Malpighiales; Euphorbiaceae. The record is from RefSeq and is a predicted model, not a curated record. The transcript has 5 exons.